UGGGGAAUAUUGCACAAUGGGCGCAAGCCUGAUGCAGCCAUGCCGCGUGUAUGAAGAAGGCCUUCGGGUUGUAAAGUACUUUCAGCGGGGAGGAAGGCGGUGAGGUUAAUAACCUCGCCGAUUGACGUUACCCGCAGAAGAAGCACCGGCUAACUCCGUGCCAGCAGCCGCGGUAAUACGGAGGGUGCAAGCGUUAAUCGGAAUUACUGGGCGUAAAGCGCACGCAGGCGGUCUGUUAAGUCAGAUGUGAAAUCCCCGGGCUUAACCUGGGAACUGCAUUUGAAACUGGCAGGCUUGAGUCUCGUAGAGGGGGGUAGAAUUCCAGGUGUAGCGGUGAAAUGCGUAGAGAUCUGGAGGAAUACCGGUGGCGAAGGCGGCCCCCUGGACGAAGACUGACGCU
Molecule: ribosomal RNA, 400 nt
Filed under: uncultured bacterium
Lineage: Bacteria
Description: bacterial SSU rRNA
Rfam family: Bacterial small subunit ribosomal RNA
Source: RNAcentral